This 832-nucleotide long non-coding RNA is filed under the name Homo sapiens (human). Its description in RNAcentral is "HSALNT0111340". The record is from RNAcentral. Lineage: Eukaryota; Metazoa; Chordata; Mammalia; Primates; Hominidae.
CUCAACAAAUAAAGUUUCAAAUUUUUUGUCAGCAAAAAUUCAUGUAAAUAAUAUUUUAUUAAUAAUAAAUUUAAUGUAAAAAUUAGCAGUGCUCCAUUUAUAGGGACAGUAAGCUCAAGUAUUAAGUUGGUUAUUCCAAUAAUAUGCAUUGAUAAGAAUAAAUUUGAGAAACAUACAAAUUCUGAGACCUUCCAAAUAUUUUAAAUAUUCCUGAAGCAACACAGAACUUAAUAACAGCUGCAAGAAGCCGGGCGCGGUAUCUUUGCGCAAAAUUAGGGCUCUAUCAAACUGAUGCUGUAAGAGAAAAGCACGAUGGGAGAACUUGACAUUAGAGGCCUUUGAGUGCAAUGGACUAGGCUCUAACUUCAUGUAUGGUAUGUAAAAAAUUUUGUUCAUGUGGCAAAAUUGAUUAUAUUAUUAUAGUACAUGACUCCUCAGUUAAAAACACUAAAAAGCCUCCUCAUUAAGUCCUCACAAUGACUCUGUGAGGUGUGUCCAGGCAUUUACAUUUUCAGAUAAGGAAAAUAAGGCUUAGAGAGUUUAAAUUACUCGACCCAGGUCACAGAACUGCAGAGAUUCCAACUCAACUCUACCUGAUCCUGAGGCUCACACCACAGAGCAUCACACUAAACUGCUUCAGGUAAACUGUUUGUUUCUUCUGAGAAUAUUAUAUUACCAAUUUAACUGUACUCAAAAUAACCUGUACUGGCAAGUGACUCAAGCAUGUGAGUGGUGGGGACAUGAAAGUGGUUAUCUGACGCUAGCUAGUAGCACUGCUCUAGCUUCCCGUCUUCCCAGUGUCACUGAGACUGGUUGUUUCCUGGAGGAGAGA